This 3503-nucleotide unclassified non-coding RNA is filed under the name Homalodisca vitripennis (glassy-winged sharpshooter). Its description in RNAcentral is "xanthine dehydrogenase-like, transcript variant X1". Lineage: Eukaryota; Metazoa; Arthropoda; Insecta; Hemiptera; Cicadellidae. The record is from RNAcentral.
CUGGAACGGAGGUUCGUGUCGUGUAGUUACGUUACAGUAUGUUUUACAUGCAGAGUCGUGUUAAAUAUUUUUUACUUGAAUACAAAUCAAUUGAUCUAUAAUGGCGGCAAAUUUAACGUAUUCUGAUAGACUAAGAGAUGCUGAUAAUUAUGUCACAUUCUCACUUAACGGGAAGAUCCAUAAGGUAUGGGGACUUCCGGCGGGAACCACCCUCUUGCAGUAUAUCCGUGAACACGCUCAUCUGAAGGGCACCAAAUACAUGUGCCGCGAGGGUGGAUGUGGAUCCUGCAUAGUGAACCUCACAUUCACUGAUCCUGUCACAGGAAUUGAUAGAUCCUUCGGUAUAAACUCAUGCUUGUACGCUUUAUACUCGUGUCAAGGAAUGUCAGUGACAACCAUUGAAGGAAUUGGCAGCAAACAGAAAGGCUACAGCCCUGUCCAGACACGCCUGGCUAACUUCUGCGGAUCUCAGUGUGGCUUCUGCUCUCCGGGCUGGGUCAUGGCUAUGUAUAGCUUACUCAAGACAGACAAAGAUAUGAGUAUGAAACAGAUAGAAGACUCUUUUGGAAGCAACAACUGCCGGUGCACAGGCUACCGACCCAUUUUGGAGGCCUUCAAAACUUUUGCAGAAAAUAGUACAGUGGAAUUGCAUAAAAACGUGGGCGAUAUUGAAGAUCUUUCGAAAGGUUGUAGCAUCCGAGGAGACCACAUCAAGUCAAAUCUCCAAAGUUGCGCUGGUAAUCCGUCCAAGGAAAUCGUAGACGUUGAAAACAUAUUCAACUGUCAAUAUUUUGAGCCUUUUUUUGUUGAACUUGCUCUGUCACCGACAACCCUUUGUGUUGAUACCAAGGGAUCUAGCCAUUGGUACAAAGUCACUAAGGUCCAGGAAAUAUUUGAGAUAUUUACUAUGAUUAAUGGAUCGUAUAUGUUGGUUGGAGGCAAUACUGCCCAAGGAGUGUUUGAAGAGAAAUACCCAACACCUCCAGACGUAUACAUCGACAUCAAUGGUGUGCUUGAACUCAAAUCUCAUUCCUUCAACUCUGUCGGGGACCUGGUGUUGGGAGCCAACAAAUCUCUAACAGACACCAUCACUCUGUUCCGGGCUGUAGCUGUCGAGAAACCGGAAUCCUUUAGUUACCUCAAGAUUUUGGCCAAGCACAUGACGAAGGUUGCUCAUAUACCUGUCAGAAACGUGGGAACUUUAGCUGGCAACCUUUCAGCUAAGCAUGUUUACCCAAGAUUUCCAUCAGAUUUGUUCACCAUAUUUGAGACGGUCGGGGCCCAACUGAUCAUCGACAGUGGAAGUGGAUUAAGAUCCACGAUCUCAUUGCCUCAGUUUCUUCAGAUCAACAUGUGUAAAAGAGUUAUUACAAAUAUCGUGUUUAAACCUUUGGAUGAAACUUAUAUUGUAAGAACCUAUAAGGUUAUGCGAAGAGCUCAGAACGACCACGCCAUAGUUAAUGCAGGAUUCUGUUUUAGCUUCAACAAAAAUAAAAAUUUCAAAGUUCUGCAGAAACCAAGGAUUGUCUACGGUGGUGUAAGACCUGAUUUCAUUCAUGCCAUCCAUACAGAAUCAUAUCUAGAGGGAAAAUGUCUUCUAAACACAGCAACACUUCAAAAGACCUUAUCCAUUCUCAGUGCGGAGGUGGUGCCAGACAGGCAGUUGCCGGAAAGUUCUGAACAGUACAGGAAUGGUUUGGCAUCGUCUCUUUUCUAUAGAUUUGUUCUUGGUUUAAGCCCAUCUUCUAUAAAUCCGAAAUUCAGAAGUGGGGGAGAGGAGAUUUCGAGACCUCUGUCCUCGGGCAGGCAGGAAUAUUUCACUGACCCUCAACAGUAUCCUCUGACUCAACCCAUGCCAAAAGUGGAAUCUCUUAUACAAUGUUCAGGUGAGAUUGAAUACACCAAUGACAUACCACCCUCGCUGACAGAACUGUUCGCUUCUCUGGUGUUGACAGACCGAGGACCUGCUACAUUGGCCGAGAUAAAUCCUCAGCCUGCUCUGAGCAUCCCGGGGGUUGUAGCCUUUCUCUCAGCAAAGGAUAUCCCUGGUGUGAAUACAUUCGCAAACAUAUUAAAACCUGUCGUUAAUGAACAUGAACUGCUAUUUGUGGAGAAGGAUAUACAAUAUGCAGGACAAGCCGCGGGGGUGAUCCUCGCCAACAGUCAAGACCUGGCCGACUACGCCGCUCGAAGAGUCGUCCUUAAAUAUAUCAACGUCAAGAAACCGUUAUUGUAUGUAGAUGAUGUCCUGAAAGAAGGUGAUAAAGAAAGGAUUAUACUAACAGGAUCGAUUGAGCCAACUUCAACAAAAGAUGAUGUAGAACAUACGAUAAAAGGAAGCUUUUCUUACAAGGGCCAGUAUUUCUAUUUCUACGAAACACUGACCUGUAUAGUAUACCCACGGGAUAAUAACACCUUAGAUGUUGUCCUGCCUACUCAAUGGAUGCAACAUGUACAAGAAGCUAUAUCCAAACUGCUUAAUAUAUCAUCUAACAGGAUCAACGUGACAGUGAAGCGGUGUGGUGGAGGUUUUGGAGGUAAGAUUUCAAGAGCUACCCUACCUGCCUGUGCGUGUGCGCUAGCGGCCUAUCUGCUCCAGAGACCUGUCAGAAUUGUAAUGGAUCUGGAAUCCAACAUGAGAGCUGUUGGAGGCAGAUAUCUCUUCCUCAUAAACUAUGAGGCAGGUGUGGAUAACGAGGGAGUGAUCCAAUACCUUAAGGGACAAUUCUACAGCGAUAAAGGGGUGGCUCUGAACGACUCUGGGUCGGCUAGGAUCUCUCUACCCGUCUUCCCUAACGUGUACGACAGCAGCACCUGGAGUGUUGAUUUCUACGACGUAAGGACCGACAAGGCGACUACGACCUACCUUAGGGCUCCAGGAUCAUUAUCGGGAAUUGGAGCAAUAGAACAUAUCAUGGAGCAUAUAGCUUGGACUGUGAAGAAAGACCCUUUGUCGGUCAGACUCAACAAUAUGAUGGUAGAUAGCCCCAUACCCAGUUACAUUUCAGAUCUCAAGGGCAAUGCAGAUUAUGACGUCAGAGUUCAGCACUGCAGAGAAUUUAACAGGUUAAAUCAGUGGAAGAAGAGAGGAAUAUCUUUGGUCCCUAUGAGGUUCAAGCCACACUACAGAGGGGUUUAUCAUGCUUUGUUGUCUAUUUUUCGGAAUGACGCAACUGUCGCCAUCACCCUCGGUGUCUGUGAGAUGGGCCAUGGUAUAAAUACCAAGCCUGUGGUAUUGCCAGGUAGCCCAGAUUGCUGCCCACGAGCUUGGCAUCCCUCUAGUCUACAUACAAGUCAAGGCCAGUUCUAAUCUUACAGCCCCUAACGAUAUCUUCACAGGAGCAAGCACGUCCUCGGAUGGAGUUUGUUUUGCUGUUAGAAAAUGCUGUCAGAAGAUAAACUCUCGACUAGAACCCCUGAGACGUUCUGUAGGACCUGACACGCCUUGGACUGAGUUGAUUGAAAAAGCUUAUCAGCAAAGAAUCGAUCUAAAUACGACGUAC